GGCGAACGCUGGCGGCGUGCCUAAUACAUGCAAGUAGAACGCUGAAGCGAGGAGCUUGCUCUUCUUGGAUGAGUUGCGAACGGGUGAGUAACGCGUAGGUAACCUGCCUUGUAGCGGGGGAUAACUAUUGGAAACGAUAGCUAAUACCGCAUAACAAUGGAUGACACAUGUCAUUUAUUUGAAAGGGGCAAUUGCUCCACUACAAGAUGGACCUGCGUUGUAUUAGCUAGUAGGUGAGGUAAUGGCUCACCUAGGCGACGAUACAUAGCCGACCUGAGAGGGUGAUCGGCCACACUGGGACUGAGACACGGCCCAGACUCCUACGGGAGGCAGCAGUAGGGAAUCUUCGGCAAUGGGGGCAACCCUGACCGAGCAACGCCGCGUGAGUGAAGAAGGUUUUCGGAUCGUAAAGCUCUGUUGUAAGUCAAGAACGGGUGUGAGAGUGGAAAGUUCACACUGUGACGGUAGCCUACCAGAAAGGGACGGCUAACUACGUG
This 497-nucleotide ribosomal RNA is filed under the name uncultured bacterium. RNAcentral's name for it is "partial 16S ribosomal RNA". It matches the Rfam family "Bacterial small subunit ribosomal RNA", at positions 28 to 507 of the family's 1533-position model. The record is from RNAcentral.